GUGAGUGUAGCUCAGUUGGUUAGAGCGUCGGAUUGUGGCUCCGAAGGUCGAGAGUUCGAGCCUCUUCACUCACCC
Molecule: transfer RNA, 75 nt
Filed under: Candidatus Moduliflexus flocculans
Lineage: Bacteria; Candidatus Moduliflexota; Candidatus Moduliflexia; Candidatus Moduliflexales; Candidatus Moduliflexaceae
Description: tRNA-His(gtg)
Rfam family: tRNA
About the family: Transfer RNA (tRNA) molecules are approximately 80 nucleotides in length.
Source: RNAcentral